CGAAAAGGGCGUUUGGUGGAUGCCUUGGCAGUAAGAGGCGAUGAAGGACGUGAUACUCUGCGAUAAGCGUAGGUUAGCCGACAAUAGGCUUUGAUCCUGCGAUUUCCGAAUGGGGGAACCCACUUGACAGUUAUUUAUUGUUACCUUUGGUGAUCAAUAAGUGGCUGAACCAAGUACUUCUUACCUGAAUAAAAUAGGGUUUGAAGAGCAAACCCGGGGAACUGAAACAUCUAAGUACCCGGAGGAAAGGAAAUCAAUUGAUACUCCGCUAGUAGUGGCGAGCGAACGCGGAUCAGCCGAGACCAAUAAGUGACUGGAACGACCUGGGAAGGUCGGCCAUAGUGGGUGAUAGCCCCGUACAGGAAGCUUUGAGGUACGUAUUAAGUAGGGCGGGACACGUGAAAUCCUGUUUGAAGAUCGGAGGACCACCUCCGAAGGCUAAGUACUCCUUACUGACCGAUAGCGAACCAGUACCGUGAGGGAAAGGUGAAAAGCACCCCGACGAGGGGAGUGAAACAGUACCUGAAACCGAACGCCUACAAUCAGUCGGAGCACCCAUGCGGUGUGACGGCGUACCUUUUGUAUAAUGGGUCAUCGACUU
This 601-nucleotide ribosomal RNA is filed under the name Alexandrium tamarense. RNAcentral describes it as "partial Bacterial large subunit ribosomal RNA". It matches the Rfam family "Bacterial large subunit ribosomal RNA", at positions 1 to 629 of the family's 2925-position model. Lineage: Eukaryota; Dinophyceae; Gonyaulacales; Pyrocystaceae. The record is from RNAcentral.